AUGAAGUCGCCGCCGCCGCCGCCGCCGCCCACGCCGGCCGCUUUCGGCGAGCUCCAGCGCCGCACAGCACGCCCCCGAGCCCCCCCAAGCUCCGCGCCUCCCUCCUCUCCGUCCAGAUUCUCCGCUCCCGGCCUCUACUGCCCGCUCGCAACCACACCCCCGUGGCUAGGGUUUCGGGCAGUGCUUCGCCGGCCCGUCUCCGGCGGCCCCAGAUGCAGAUGGAGCACGCCAUGGGAUUUCCCCAUCCACCACGCUCGCUGCCGUCAAGGGCAGGAAGGAACCCUAGCCAGCAGCACCUCCUCACCUCGGAUGAUGCCUCUGCUGCACCAAGAUAGGGUUUUGUUCGAUCCUACACUUAAAGAAAAUCAUACUGAAGAUCUGAGCUUAAGUGUUCCAACAGCUGAAGCACCAGCUCAAGAUGAAGGGAAUCUCUUAAUAUGA
Molecule: ribosomal RNA, 441 nt
Filed under: Triticum aestivum (bread wheat)
Lineage: Eukaryota; Viridiplantae; Streptophyta; Magnoliopsida; Poales; Poaceae
Description: partial small subunit ribosomal RNA
Source: RNAcentral